This 484-nucleotide long non-coding RNA is filed under the name Arabidopsis lyrata. Its description in RNAcentral is "long non-coding RNA (ALYR_LNC002417)". Lineage: Eukaryota; Viridiplantae; Streptophyta; Magnoliopsida; Brassicales; Brassicaceae. The record is from RNAcentral.
UGUGUUUGUUAUUUGGCAUGAUUGAAGUGAGGAGGAGUCGUUGCAUGUUUGAUUUUUAGGGUUCAUAGUUUCGGAUUGAAUCAAAUUGAGUCAGGAUUGUUUCAUUAGGGGUUUCAUUGAUAUUUCCUUGUCAGGAUUGAAUCAAAUUGAGUCAUAGUAUGCUUGAUUUAUGGUAAAUAGUUUCGUUAAUGUAUGUAGAUCUUUUCUUCAAAAUGCUUUGAUUCUUGAAUUAUGGAUGAUAUGAGACUAUAUAGUGUAUAGUUUCCUUAAUAAAUAGUUUAUGUAUUUAUUCUGAAAUAUAAACUUCAUCAAAGCUGAAAAGAUUAGUUAAAGCUUUCAAGCUCUAGUUGCUUUAGGCAUUAACCAACACACAUAGAGUCUGGUUUUUCUUUGUUUGAGUCAUGUGGAAAGGUAAAUACUUGGUAUUUCUCGGAGGCAUGAUCAUUUUGAAUACCUGAUUUAAUAUCUCUUAGUAAUUACUUGA